AGGAAUAUUGGUCAAUGGGCGCAAGCCUGAACCAGCCAUGCCGCGUGCAGGAAGACGGCCCUAUGGGUUGUAAACUGCUUUUAUACCGGAAUAAACCCCUUUACGUGUAAAGGGUUGAAUGUACGGUAGGAAUAAGGAUCGGCUAACUCCGUGCCAGCAGCCGCGGUAAUACGGAGGAUCCAAGCGUUAUCCGGAUUUAUUGGGUUUAAAGGGUGCGUAGGCGGCCUGUUAAGUCAGGGGUGAAAGACGGUGGCUCAACCAUCGCAGUGCCUUUGAUACUGACGGGCUUGAAUGCAGCUGAGGUAGGCGGAAUGUGGCAAGUAGCGGUGAAAUGCAUAGAUAUGCCACAGAACACCAAUUGCGAAGGCAGCUUACCAAAGUGUGAUUGACGCUGAGGCACGAAAGCGUGGGGAUCAAA
This 418-nucleotide ribosomal RNA is filed under the name uncultured bacterium. RNAcentral describes it as "bacterial SSU rRNA". It matches the Rfam family "Bacterial small subunit ribosomal RNA", at positions 357 to 772 of the family's 1533-position model. The record is from RNAcentral.